This 844-nucleotide unclassified non-coding RNA is filed under the name Hevea brasiliensis (rubber tree). Lineage: Eukaryota; Viridiplantae; Streptophyta; Magnoliopsida; Malpighiales; Euphorbiaceae. The record is from RNAcentral.
GCAAUUGAUAGAGUGAGAAUUAUGAAUUCUUCUAGUGAUCACAUUCAGAAAGUUCUCAGUUAAGGCAUUACAAAUUUCUUGCUUACAAUCCCAAAAACAAUUAGGUGCAAAUUGUUGAUUAUUUCACAUUAGUUACAGCUGAAAACAUAAUCAAAACCAAGAAAAAAAAAAUUAAAAAAAGUUUGUCAAUUGCAGAUAAAGCCUAGGCAACACCAUAUAAUUUGGUCUCCAUUACUAAACAGAAAUAGGCAACUUAAGUACAAUUUCAGCUUCAGCUCAUUUCGAUAUGCACUGUACAUCAAAAGUACUUUGUUGUCGUAUCCUGGUAGUAAAUACAUACACGACUCCAAAGAGCACCCUGACUGAAAAUAAUGAAUUUCUGCAACUCUGGGAAAUUAUGUACUCAUUUACUUGUUUGAUAAGCAAUAAACAUUAAAUUUUUGUCACAAAUGACCCAAAGAUGAUAGUGACAUAUGCCCUAAAUCUACUAUCAGCAAUAAAUAAUAUACAAAAACACAAAACUUAGAUCAGUAACCAAGUCUAAAAGCAAUACAAAAGUGAAAAAGUACGGCUUAUAAAUUGAGAAAAUAAAGGCAAAUAGAGACACAUACAUAUAUGACUUCAGAUUUCCCCCCUUUUCACUGGCAGAGCCUUGCAACUUAUACUCAGAACACAUUAAGAAUAAAUUUCAAACUUUUUUUUUGGGGUUCAUGGGAACCAACUUUCAAACAUAAGCACAAUGUCUGCCAGGCAAAGUCAGGACCAAGAAAAACAGGUGGUGACAAAAAAAUGAACCUUUGCCAAUUGUUGUGACUGGAUGAUGUUUAUGCACCUCCGGAAUACU